CUAUAAAGCACUAUGUGACUUCAAGAUAUCUCUCACACUUUGAUUUUGUUUCUAAUUUUAGGAGGGAGAGGUCUCUGCUGGUAAAUGGAAGCUGAAAUGGAGAAGGUACAUUUUCAUUUGGUUCCGACAUCAUUCAUGGUUCUGUGCAGAGGAAAUUAGGCAUGUUUCCAGGGCCAACGGGCUCUGGAUUUUGGUGAAAAAGCCACGGUCACCAAUAAUUAAAACCAGUGACUAUGGUGGCCACUGUGGAGAAGGCUGGCCCCUCUCCAGGAAGAGGCCUGAAUGUUCUCUCUGCUGACCUCCUCAGAAAUAUGUGGCCUCUCGCUGGAGUUCAUGCGCUCGUCCUCUGGGAACGCAAAGGCAUGGCCAAGGUGGGAUGAGUGCCCGCGCUUGCUACCUCUGGCUGUUUCCUCCCGCAAGGAGGAAAGGGAGCUGGGCUCCCGAUGAGCAGCCAGCUGCAGCCUCAUUGCAAUAAAGUGUUAGAAUUAAUCAACUUCAUCUGUUUCCAUUUUGCUAAACUGCUACAUCAGACACCACAAAAUAAAUACAUUAACUAAACGCCCCACUCUCCUCACUCUAAAAAAGACACUUGAAAGAUGGAAAAAUGUUCAUCUGUUGCAGCCGGGAGGGUGGUGGUGGUGGGGAACCAGGGAAUAAUUAGAAUCUUGAAACGUCUGCCGCCGGAAUAGCAAUCAAAAGAGCAGAAAUGCCUAUAAAAAGUCUGUUCUUGGCACCGCUUAAUUGGUUCCCUUAUUUUUCUGCCUCUGAAGCUGUCUUUAGUGACACCUACUGAUAAGAGCCAAUCAGAACCGUGGCCGAAUUCCUCUGGGCUGGACCUGCCAACAAACUGCUCAGCCCUCCAGAUGUUACUGCUUUGUGAGAAAUGAAAACUCAAUAAACCAGGCUCACCCUUCCUCCUGGGGUGAACACAAAGACAGUCAGAUAUGGAAAAUCGCUGCUCAGCACCAUGAACAAUGCACUCGAAGGAGGGGAUGGGCCCAGUUGUAUUUGUCUUGGUGGAACAGACAACCAUGAAGCCUCACGCAAUUUUCGCUGGCAAUAGUUCAAUACGUGACGAUACAUUGCAACUGCUCUACAAAAGGGGGCCCUCAGCUGGGAAAAGUCCCAAGGCAGGGUUAAAGAACUGGUUAGAGAAGCUUGUAGAAAGGGUUAAAUACGUAUCACACAUGCCUUUACGAUGCUGAACGCUUCUCCACCUUUCGUGUUUUUCAGACUGCAUUCUUUUGUGUUACGUAAUAAAUCAGCAAGAUGCUGCAGUAAAUAGCCUCAUGGCACAUCCCAACCAUCAAUGAAUAAUAUCCAGCGAGCACUCGCCGUUCUGGAACAAAAUGAACCAAAGUGAAUUAGUUCCUGUCCUCCAGACCAGAGUGUCCCAAUCUUUCUUAGUACAGGACACACUUAUGAUCUUGCUGUGAGACAGUAAGAAAAUGUGUCACUGUCUUUUGUCCCUGAGCCAGUCACUCAUCCAGCUGUCUGUCCAUCGAACCUUCUGCCCACCCUGCUUUUGUUACCUGAACUGAAACUCACCGGGAGAAUGCAGAUAUAAGACCACCUCAUACGAUGUGACAGCAUCUCUGUCCUGGUGAAAUGCCAUGCAUGUCUUUGGCUAGCUUCACUAUGGUAGGGACAGUGGGACCUUGAGAGUUAAAUGUUUACUCAUGGAGGUUAGUUUCAUCUCACAAGUUGAAAAUCACAUCUUACACAUAAUGUCAUACUAUUUUAGAGGUAACAUUUUGAGCUCAUUCCUGACAAGAUCAUUUUGUUGAAUUCUUUACCUGCAUCUUGGGAACAGUCAUGCAUCAGCAGCCUGUUAUAAUGUGUGAGUUUUUUUGAAUUGCUCAAAGUAGUUUUCUAAAAAUGGUUGCCUUUGCAUCUAUUUUGUGGUUUGUAUUUGAGCACAUAGCACUGUUACUGGAAAUUGUAUUACCCCCGUCAUCCGUACCAUUUGCAUCGUAUUGGAUUACAAUUUUUUUUUAAAAAAAGAAAGAAUCAGCCUAAGUCACCACAAUAUUACUAUAUGAGGAAAAUUAGAAGUCUUAUUUAUUUUUUAUUUUUUACUUUUUUUUUAGGCUAGUCAAGUGAAGCAGUGGGAGUGGAGAAGGAACAAAGAAAUCUGUAACUGGUUGUGAUCAAUUAGUUGUAAACACCACUGCACUCGGACCAGCCUAGAAGUCUUAUUAAAAAAUGAUACACAGUAUGUAAAAUUGUUAAAUAACCCAGAAAAUGAUUAAAUCUGUGGCAAUUCUUUUAAAAAUUGCUCACAGAGAAUGAUUAAUGGGUGCAAGUUGGAUUAAUGACUUCUACGAUUUUAUUAUGCAAUAGGUUAACUAUGUUUGACAACAAUUGACUGAAUAUUAAGAAAUAAUAAAUGUUUGGAGUGAUAUGUUAAUUUUCCUAAUCUGAUCAUUAUACAUUAUAUACAUGUAUUGAAAUGCCACAAUAUGCUCCAUAAAUAUGUGCAAUUACUAUAUGUCAUUUGAAAAUAGAUUUUUAAAACUGCUCAUCUGAGAUGACUUCCAGAAGCUUCCAAGCCAGUAUUGAGCAAGGCUGUUCUGGCUCAAUGAAUCUGCAACCAAUAGCAUUUAUUAGUCAUAAUACACUAACUGUGAUAGUAUCUCCAUGAUAUUAGGUACAUUGGAAAGGCUCAAAUAUAAUGUUAUUCAUUUUUUUAAUAUACAGUAUUUGGGGAAACUGUCCAAUAUUCAGUGUAUCCCACGGCAUCUUCUUCUGCCAUGUUUAUACUUCAUCAUCUACACACCCUAAGUCUCGAGUAGCUGGCAGAAAGGAGUAUUUCCCUCUGAGGAUGACUUCAGGCCUCACAGAAUUGGGAUGUGCUAGUUAAGAGCACAACUUUAGAUUUUUGCUGCCUAAGAUGGACUAUAAUUUCCUAGAUAAUUUUGUAAUAGGCAAGACAUGGACUGAAUUCAUUGCACAAGUGACGAUGGGAUGGUGCUAAGUCUGCAAAUUUGCACAACGUUUAGGUGAAUUUCUGAGUGAAGUGUUUUUAAUUUCAGGUGGGAGAGUAUAUAAGCAGGUUACUGGAGCUGGGAAAAGUAUUAUCUCCUUUUUGGUUUAAGCCUGGAGGACUUAGUAGAGGAAGAGAAAUUUUUAGGUCUUUAACAAAGAGAAUCAGGGCAGAUCAUGGUGGAGUAGGUUUCCUAGGAGGUGCUGUACAUAAACUGCAAAGAAAAAGUUCAAAAGGAGGUUGGCUAAAAUGCAGCAGAGGCUGUGAAGAAAGAGAGUCACUAAAUCAGAGAUGGUGGUAGGUAACACUUAACAGGAAGAGAAAUGGGAACAUUCAUUGGAUCAGAAAAGAAAGGAAAGGAAGCUUAUGAAGAUAGGUAAGAAUAACAGUUAUUUUAAUAGAAAAUGGCACUGACUGAAAGGAAGUGCAGAGGGAGACCUGAAGUCCGUUGAAAAGUAGAGACAAUGUGGACGUAAAUGAUAAGCCAAAGCAUUAAGGACUAAGAUGAAAGCUUGACUUGGGAGCAGCAUUAGCACUGAUAAACUUACCUUGUACUUUUCACAACCUUGUGAUAAAGUUCACUUCAAUUAACAUAUUGAGUUAAGUUAGAUCUAUUGGUUUAUAAGGUCUUUGGAGAUUAGAUGCUGAUGAUUAGAUAUAGUCAAUCGUGGACUGUCAAUCAUUUGAUUAUUCAAAAAAUAUUUUGAUUUAAUGGAUAUUUAUUUAGUAUCUCUGUUUUGUGUCUCAAGCUCUAUACUAUAAAUAAAAAACUCUAAUGUCA
Cavia porcellus (domestic guinea pig) is the source of this 3767-nucleotide long non-coding RNA. RefSeq lists it as uncharacterized. The transcript is spliced from 3 exons. Lineage: Eukaryota; Metazoa; Chordata; Mammalia; Rodentia; Caviidae. The record is from RefSeq and is a predicted model, not a curated record.